AUAUAGAAAAUUGUAUCAUAAAUGUAAAACAACCAAUAUCUUACAGUAGACUCCAUGUCUCUGUUUAACCCUAAGGUCCAAAAAUCUGCACGGGUCAGGCAUGCCUUUGCUGUUCGAAUAAUCAGCUCCUUUGCAGGCUUCUCUAUGUCCAGUAUGUAGUUGAGCUAAUAAAAUUGCAAUAUUUGGAAAUGCAAGGUUAAACACAAACUUAUGCAGAUUUGUUGUAUUGUUGAUCUUAUGAAACUAACCAGUUCUUUCUGAGCUGAAUGGUAUGUUAAAAACCACGAUGCUCUGCAGGCAGUAAUGUUUUUGCAGUUUGUGACUUCUUCGCAUUGGGGUCCACGCUCUUCAAGAAGGGUCUGGCUGCAGACACAUCUCAGAAAUGCAUGCACACUCAGAUACAUGCAGUCUCAGCCGCACUUGCGCAGUCCGACACGCGUUCUCAGCAGCUUGUGGACACUCAGAUACAUGCGCUUUCAGACGCACGCGUUUUAAUGCACCUACAGGCCACUUGUAAGAAUAUUUAUGCAAUUCGUACAAGAUUAAGUUAAAGUAAAAGAGUUGUUCAUUAUUUGGUAGAUCCUGAUAUUUAUCUGGUAUAUCCCACAUGCAGAGGUGUCGACGUUAUGCACGCGUUUUAGAGGAUUCGACGACCAUUAAAUAAUCGAUGUAAGUAUAUUUACCUCAUUCAUACAAGAUUAGCUAGAUGUAAAAGUGUUGUUUUAAUCUAUAAGAUAAUGACCCUAUUGGAGAAAACAACUACUUUAUCAAUAAUAUGGCUCCCUCGACACACAUUUUCAUUAUGCGGAACAUUAUCCAUCACAAAAAUGCAUCAACAAACCAGAAGAUGUUGGAGGGACAGCUACAGCGUGGUCACAUACCUCACAGCAUUGAAAAUGUGGUCCUCUCUGACUUGGGACAAGCAAUUUUAACCCCAUGUUCCACUGACAAGCAAAUUUCUCCUGGCUUGGGGUUAGGACCUGAGCAUGAGUUGAGGACAAUGAACAGUGCAAUUGUCACAGACCCGCCAGGCUCAUCCGUCAGCCAAUCAGAGCGCACUCCUUCACCCUGAGUACUAACCACGCGCACCUGAUCCCCAUCACCACACAAUCACCGCCAGACACUUAAGCACAGCACUCACCUCAGUUCACUGUCCGGUCUCGACUGACACAAGGACUGCUACUCCCAUGCUCUUGCAUUGUGAGGAAUACUUACCUGGUUUAUCUCAGCGAUUCUCCUGGUCUCUGUGUAAAGUGUCUGCGUGUGUGUUCUCCUACCGUUCCUGUUUGGUCUGUCUACCUCUGCACCAGCCAUCCGCCACGAGUCACUCACCUGCAAAGGAAAAGGACAGUAUUACCAUUCUUAUCUACCAUCACAAGUAUCUACUUCACAGUCACUUACCUGUUCAUCUGUUUAUCCUACGCUGUUGUUCAAUAAAGUCACUCAUCAUUACUAACCUGUUGUCUCCCACUCCUCUGUCCGUAACAGCAAUAGGGCCUGGCUGCACAGCAGCUCUAGAAGAAAAUGGUGUCUUGUCCAGCUUAAGUAAAUUCAGUAUUGAUUCAUCCCUUUGUAAAAAUCAAUAGUUAUUAAUAUAGUUAAUUUAUCUAUACAUCGGCUCUGGAGAAAACAGUGAUUUCAUCAUCCAUCUCAGUUUAGUUCACGUACAAUAGUGUCAAUGCGGGCAGAUCAAAAACAUUGUUGAAUAUCAAGUGUCCCCAACUAAGCAAGCCAGAGGCAACAGCGGCAAGGAAACCAAACUCCAACAGGUGACAAAAUGGAGAAAAAAACCUUGGGAGAAACCAGGCUCGGUCGGAGGGCCAGUUCUCCUCUGGCCAACAUCAAACAAUGCAUGAUUUUUGGUUACAGGUCAUAAGUCAGAUUGGGAUCACAACAGUCAAAAUAUUUAAUCCAGUUGAAGUACAGAUUCAUCACGCUGGUAUGGAAACAGUUUGUUGGGGAUCUGUGCCACUGGCUGUCGUGUCGAUGAGGCCUUCACAGGGGAUGAUCUAGUUGACACAAUCUCUGCUGACACUUCAGGGAUGCGUUGUGGUACCUAGGCGCAGGUCCUCUAUCUGAUCUGGAUACGGCCCAGAUCCGAUUGACUACAGAUCUGAUUGAUAAACAGAGAGACUAAUAUUAGCGUAGAUUCUAUUUGUCUUAUGAUGUAACAAUCGGGUGUUAUAGGAAAUGUUCCCGGUUCCGGCUGAUCUAGUCUCAACUUUAAAAUUCUGUAAGUUUUAUUAUGAAAUUCAAACAAUAAAUACCGUUUUGGCGUUCUUUAAUGUGACAUGACAGAUCACUGUAUCGCCUCAGAUCAAGGGGCACGUGAACUGCAUGUUGAAAGGACCAAUAGCCUACAACUUACUGAAAUGAAUCAUGUCUCAUAUAAUCGCUCAGUGCUUCAACCGUGGAUGUCAAUAAAAAAACAAUGUCUCGUAACAUUACAUUUACUUUAGAAAAGCCAUUCAGUGUCCAUAAAUGCUAAAGCGAGAAAAAUGCACUCUACUGAGCUCUUUAAUAGUUAUUAUUAUACUGUCAUU
Long non-coding RNA from Ctenopharyngodon idella (grass carp), 2543 nucleotides. RefSeq lists it as uncharacterized. The transcript is spliced from 3 exons. NCBI's taxonomy places the organism in Eukaryota, Metazoa, Chordata, Actinopteri, Cypriniformes, Xenocyprididae. The record is from RefSeq and is a predicted model, not a curated record.